GUGAGGAAUUUUCCGCAAUGGGCGAAAGCCUGACGGAGCAAUGCCGCGUGAAGGAUGAAGGCCUAUGGGUUGUAAACUUCUUUUAUUAGAGAAGAAUAUUGACGGUAUCUGAGGAAUAAGCAUCGGCUAACUCUGUGCCAGCAGCCGCGGUAAGACAGAGGAUGCAAGCGUUAUCCGGAAUGAUUGGGCGUAAAGCGUCUGUAGGUGGCUUCAAAAGUCUCCUGUCAAAGAUCAGGGCUUAACCCUGGGCCGGCAGGAGAAACUCUGAGGCUAGAGUUUGGUAGGGGCAGAGGGAAUUCCCGGUGGAGCGGUGAAAUGCGUAGAGAUCGGGAGGAACACCAAAGGCGAAAGCACUCUGCUGGGCCACAACUGACACUGAGAGACGAAAGCGAGGGGAGCAAAAGGGAUUAGAAACCCCAGUAGUCC
Molecule: ribosomal RNA, 426 nt
Filed under: uncultured bacterium
Lineage: Bacteria
Description: partial 16S ribosomal RNA
Rfam family: Bacterial small subunit ribosomal RNA
Source: RNAcentral